Molecule: ribosomal RNA, 1122 nt
Filed under: Triticum aestivum (bread wheat)
Lineage: Eukaryota; Viridiplantae; Streptophyta; Magnoliopsida; Poales; Poaceae
Description: partial small subunit ribosomal RNA
Source: RNAcentral
AUGGGGUGCUUCGCCUUCAAGAGCGGCAAGGGCCGUCGGCGGCCGGCUGGCGGCGGCAAGCCUCCGGCGGAGCCGAAGCCGGACGGGCCGAAGCGGAGCAAGGCGUCCUCGUCGUCGGCGUCGACGCCGACGAGGAGCAUCCAGGAGCUGUCGGAGGAGCGGGGCGCGGCGCGGCUGCGCGUGUUCGGGCUGGAGGAGCUCGGCAGCGCCACCAACGGCUUCAGCCGCGCGCUCAAGAUCGGCGAGGGCGGCUUCGGCUCCGUCUACCGCGCCUUCUUCCGCUCCGCCGCCGGCGGCCGCGUCGUCCUCGCCGUCAAGCGCCUCAACCAGCGCAGCCUGCAGGGGCACAAGCAGUGGCUUGCCGAGGUGCAGUUCCUGGGCGUCCUGGAGCACCCGAACCUGGUGAAGCUCGUGGGCUACUGCGCGGUGGACUCGGAGGCGAGCAAGCACCGGCUGCUGGUGUACGAGUUCAUGCCCAACAAGACCCUGGACGACCACCUCUUCAGCCGAGCCCACCCGCCGCUCCCCUGGAGGACGAGGCUGCAGGUCAUGGCCGGCGCCGCGCGCGGCCUCGACUACCUCCACCGCGGCCUCCCGGAAGUCCAGGUGAUAUACAGGGACUUCAAGGCGUCGAACGUGCUGCUGGACGGCGAGUUCCGGCCGAAGCUGUCGGACUUCGGGCUGGCGCGGGAGGGCCCGACGGAGGGGCGGACGCACGUGUCGACGGCGGUGGUGGGCACGCACGGCUACGCGGCGCCGGACUACAUCGAGACGGGGCACCUCACGGUGAAGAGCGACGUGUGGGGGUUCGGGGUGGUGCUGUACGAGAUCCUGACGGGGCGGCGGUCGGUGGAGCGCAGCCGGCCGGCGGAGGAGCAGAAGCUGCUGGGGUGGGUGCGCCGGCACCCGCCCGGAGGGGACAGCUUCAGGACCAUCAUGGACCCGCGGCUGGGCGGGCGGUACCCGCUGGCCGCCGCGCGCGACGCGGCGAGGCUGGCCGACCGCUGCCUCGGCAAGAACCCCAAGGAGCGGCCGGCCAUGGCGGAGGUCGUGGAGGAGCUCGAGCGGGUGCUGCGGAUGGAGCCGGCCCCGCCUCCGGCUCCGGCGACACCCAAGAGGUGA